CACGUAGGCACCAAGCGUUGUCCGGAUUUAUUGGGCGUAAAGAGCUCGUAGGCGGUUGAGUAAGUCGGGUGUGAAAACUCUGGGCUUAACCCAGAGCCGCCACUCGAUACUGCUCUGACUUGAGUUCGGUAGGGGAGCAGGGAAUUCCUAGUGUAGCGGUGAAAUGCGCAGAUAUUAGGAGGAACACCGGUGGCGAAGGCGCUGCUCUGGGCCGAAACUGACGCUGAGGAGCGAAAGCGUGGGUAGCAAACGUG
RNAcentral lists this ribosomal RNA (254 nucleotides) under uncultured bacterium. Its description in RNAcentral is "partial 16S ribosomal RNA". It matches the Rfam family "Bacterial small subunit ribosomal RNA", at positions 524 to 776 of the family's 1533-position model. The record is from RNAcentral.